CAAGCUUCUCAUUAUUGCAAUGCAUGUUUACAGAUAAGCAAGAGGAGAAGCCUAGACUAAUCCAAGUUGUUCAUGAAGAAAGUCAAACUCUAAAACAUUUAAAGAGGUUUAUUCUGCGCCAAAUAUGAGUGACCAUGGCUUGAGGCAUAAUAUCAAGAGGUCCUGAGAACAUUUACCCGAGGUGGUUGGGUACAGCUUGGUUCUACACAUUUUGGGGAGGAGACAUAAGACAUCAGUCAAUACAUGUGAGGUAUACAUUGGCUCGAUAUAAAAAGGCUGGACAUUUCAAAGUGGGGGUUUUCAGGUCAUAGGUGAAGUCAAAGAUUUCUUGAUUGGCAGUUGGUUGAAGGAGUUCAGCUUAAGAUAAGGAGGGAUGUGGAAGCCAAGGUUCUCGCUGUGUAGAUGGAGCCUUCAGGUAACAGGCUUCAGAUAUAAUAGAUGGUAAAUGUAUUUUGUCAGGUUUUAAAAGAUGUUAGACUUUUAGUUAAAUCUCUCCUGUAUCGGGAAAAAACCUGGAAAGAUUUCCAUACUACUGGCAAAGAUCUCACUAAUUAGCCCUCAUAUAUUGACUUCUGUUUUCAUUUUUCUUCUUUGUAAGUGACCUCAAACAAGUCAUAUAAGCUUUCCAAAUCUCUAUCAAAUCAUCUGAAAAUGAGGAAGAUGAACAUUAUCUAACAAGACAAACACAUAUCAGCAUCAGACAAGAUGCUCCUGGUUGGCAUCCCAGUGAUACAUAUCCUUCCAGAAGGCAAGCAGCCAGUUCAUACAAAGGGAGAUUCAUUGUUGAGUAAGCAGCUCACGCACUGAGAUGUAUCUGUG
RNAcentral lists this long non-coding RNA (819 nucleotides) under Homo sapiens (human). RNAcentral's name for it is "HSALNT0165419". Lineage: Eukaryota; Metazoa; Chordata; Mammalia; Primates; Hominidae. The record is from RNAcentral.